Molecule: long non-coding RNA, 261 nt
Organism: Homo sapiens (human)
Lineage: Eukaryota; Metazoa; Chordata; Mammalia; Primates; Hominidae
Exons: 2
Source: RefSeq, a predicted model, not a curated record
AAUCCAAAACUUGGGAAAAUCUACAGGGCAAACAACACAGUUUCUUUAAGAAAAGAUUGCAGAGGGGGCAAAGGGAAAUGGAAGAAGAAACCAGAGACUUAAUAAUCUGAGCAGGCUGGACCCAGUGGCUCACCCGGUUUCAGUGAGCUGUGAUCAAACCACCGCACUCCAGCCUGGGCAACAGAUUGAGACCCCAUAUUAAACAAAAAGAAUCUGAGCAACAAGGAAUUGGAAAAUAAAAUUUAAAAGCAACACCAAUAA